This 376-nucleotide ribosomal RNA is filed under the name uncultured organism. Its description in RNAcentral is "partial 16S ribosomal RNA". It matches the Rfam family "Bacterial small subunit ribosomal RNA", at positions 527 to 897 of the family's 1533-position model. The record is from RNAcentral.
GUAGGUGGCAAGCGUUGUCCGGAAUUAUUGGGGCGUAAAGCGCGCGCAGGCGGUCCUUUAAGGUCUGAUGUGAAAGCCCACGGGCUCAACCGUGGAGGGUCAUUGGAAACUGAGGGACUUGAGUACAGAAGAGGAAAGCGGAAUUCCACGUGUAGCGGUGAAAUGCGUAGAGAUGUGGAGGAACACCAGUGACGGAGGCGGCUUUCUGGUCUGUAACUGACGCUGAGGCGCGAAAGCGUGGGGAGCAAACAGGAUUAGAUACCCUGGUAGUCCACGCCGUAAACGAUGAGUGCUAAGUGUUAGGGGGUUUCCGCCCCUUAGUGCUGCAGCUAACGCAUUAAGCACUCCGCCUGGGGAGUACGACCGCAAAGGUUGA